UGGCUCAGUUCAGAAGGAACAG
This 22-nucleotide microRNA is filed under the name Gekko japonicus. RNAcentral describes it as "Gja-Mir-24-P3_3p (mature (guide))". The record is from RNAcentral. Lineage: Eukaryota; Metazoa; Chordata; Lepidosauria; Squamata; Gekkonidae.